UUUUUUUGUUUAGACUCUAAUUGUUUUAAUUUCCACUCAGUGAGAGUUCUUUGGAUUUUCCAACACUGUGUGCAAACUCCUAUUGGAGGGUAUCCACAUUCACAAUGUGUCUACCAUUUAUCCUGGCAUACCUUACACCUAAAACAAGCAAAUGGAUAACAAUUGCAGUUCAAAUCAUUACACCUAAUUCAUAUAUCUAGAGUGCAUAUAUUAUUUACAUCAACAUAUCUUCUAUUUUUAAUAUUGUGAGGUUGCAUAAGUUUAGCAAUUUCCUUCAACACACUUUGUACGCUUCCAUAUAUAAUAGAAAAAAAGAGAAAUAAUUAUAGCAAAUAUAAAUAGCAAUACACACUUUAUACCGAGAGGUAAUGCGGUAAAAUAAUCGAAUAAAGUCUUUAUCAUUACGUUAUCUUUUCAGGGUUAUCUUGGUGUCACCUGGAGUACUGAUUACUUUCCAGUAGGGUCUCGUCACUGGGCCUUUAAUGCGACUGGCAUGAGUCCAUCCACGCUCAGCAGUUCGGACAGCUGUUUCUGUUGUAAGCAAAACAAGAUAAGGUCCCUCCCAAUUGGGUUUUAGGGUUUCUUCCUUCCACACUUUAAUCAAUAUCCAAUCCCCAGGUUUAACAUUAUGAAUUUUUAAGUCCAACGGGGGUCGUUGUACAAUCAGUCCAUGUUCCCAAAGCUUGUUACGAUGUUCUGCUAAUUGUGAAACAUAUUCAUUAAUCACACGGUCUCGAAUUAAAACAUUUGUUUGUGGACUUUCAAUUCUAUAAGACAUUCCAUACACCAUUUCAAACGCUGAUAUUCCUACAUCUGCUCGGGGUCUGGUUCUGAGAAUUAAUAGUGCCAUGGGUAGGCACUUAAUCCAUGAUAAUUUGGUUUCUAUCAUUAAUUUAGUCAAAAUAGUUUUGAUUUCUCCAUUUAUCCUUUCAACUUUUCCCGAACUUUGUGGAUGCCAUGGUGUAUGGUAUUCCCACUUAAUCCCCAAGCUUUCAGCUAGAUCUUUAACAAUUUUUGACACAAAGUGUGUUCCUCUGUCCGAGUCGAUUACUUCAGGUACUCCAUAUCGAGGUAUAAUGUGUUCAAGUAACACUUUAGUAACCUGGUUAGCAGUUGCCUUGGAGGUAGGAAAAGCCUCAACAUAAUGUGUUAAAUGAUCCACCAUUACUAAUAAAUGUUUGUAACGCCCUACCCUGGGUAGUUCAGUAAAAUCCACUUGUAUGUGUGAGAAAGGUCUGUAUGCUGGGGAACGUCCUCCAAGAGGUUUUUGUCUCAUGUUGCUUCGAUUAACCUUUUGACAGGUCUCGCAGCCUGCCGUGACUAUCUUUGCUAUGUUAUAUACGCCUAUACUGGCAAACUGUUGAUUGAAAUGAUCAACUAACGCCUGGGUUCCCCAGUGUGUUUUACUGUGUAUUUUUGAAAAUAUCUCGAGUGCUAUGCCCUUCGGCAAGAGUUCCCUCCCAUCUGGCAAUAUGUACUUACCAUCUUGUUCCUUAGCUCCCAUUUGUUCUAGUUUUUCCUUUUCUGCAGACUCAAAACUUAAAUUUUUACUAACAGGUACUUGUUGCAUAGUCAAAAUCAUACCAUAAUUGCCUGCCACUCGUUUUGCUUCUGUAUCAGCUGCAUUAUUUCCCCUAAUUUGAUAACUUGUACCUCGCUGGUGUCCCUUUAUAUCACAAGACACUUUGUGUCAAAAAUUGUUAAAGAUCUAGCUGAAAGCUUGGGGAUUAAGUGGGAAUACCAUACACCAUGGCAUCCACAAAGUUCAGGAAAAGUUGAAAGGAUAAAUGGAGAAAUCAAAACUAUUUUGACUAAAUUAAUGAUAGAAACCAAAUUAUCAUGGAUUAAGUGCCUACCCAUGGCACUAUUAAUUCUCAGAACCAGACCCCGAGCAGAUGUAGGAAUAUCAGCGUUUGAAAUGGUGUAUGGAAUGUCUUAUAGAAUUGAAAGUCCACAAACAAAUGUUUUAAUUCGAGACCGUGUGAUUAAUGAAUAUGUUUCACAAUUAGCAGAACAUCGUAACAAGCUUUGGGAACAUGGACUGAUUGUACAACGACCCCCGUUGGACUUAAAAAUUCAUAAUGUUAAACCUGGGGAUUGGAUAUUGAUUAAAGUGUGGAAGGAAGAAACCCUAAAACCCAAUUGGGAGGGACCUUAUCUUGUUUUGCUUACAACAGAAACAGCUGUCCGAACUGCUGAGCGUGGAUGGACUCAUGCCAGUCGCAUUAAAGGCCCAGUGACGAGACCCCACUGGAAAGUAAUCAGUACUCCAGGUGACACCAAGAUAACCCUGAAAAGAUAACGUAAUGAUAAAGACUUUAUUUGAUUAUUUUGCCGCAUUACCUUUCGGUAUAAAGUGUGUAUUGCUGUUUAUAUUUGCUAUAAUUAUUUCUCUUUUUUUCUAUUAUAUAUGGAAGCGUACAAAGUGUGUUGAAGGAAAUUGCUAAACUUAUGCAACCUCACAAUAUUAAAAAUAGAAGAUAUGUUGAUGUAAAUAAUAUAUGCACUCUAGAUAUAUGAAUUAGGUGUAAUGAUUUGAACUGCAAUUGUUAUCCAUUUGCUUGUUUUAGGUGUAAGGUAUGCCAGGAUAAAUGGUAGACACAUUGUGAAUGUGGAUACCCUCCAAUAGGAGUUUGCACA
Molecule: long non-coding RNA, 2640 nt
Organism: Strigops habroptila (Kakapo)
Lineage: Eukaryota; Metazoa; Chordata; Aves; Psittaciformes; Psittacidae
Source: Ensembl